Molecule: unclassified non-coding RNA, 221 nt
Filed under: soil metagenome
Description: partial contains 5.8S ribosomal RNA, internal transcribed spacer 2, and large subunit ribosomal RNA
Source: RNAcentral
AACCUUAUGGACCUGCGGGCGUAUACCUGCGGAAGGAUCAUUAACAAAAAGUAUCACGAUAGGAAGGAGAGAGAGGAAGAGAGAGAGAGAGAAAGAGGAUGGAAAAUUUUUUCCUUUCUUUUUUUCUCUCCUCUCUCCUCUCCUCUUUAUUAUCAUCAUCUCCUACACUUUUUUAAUUUUUAUUAUAUGAAAAAUAUAAUACAACUUUCAACAAUGGAUCU